AGAUUGAACGCUGGCGGCAGGCCUAACACAUGCAAGUCGAGCGGUAGAGAGGUGCUUGCAUCUCUUGAGAGCGGCGGACGGGUGAGUAAUGCCUAGGAAUCUGCCUAGUGGUGGGGGAUAACGUUCGGAAACGGACGCUAAUACCGCAUACGUCCUACGGGAGAAAGCGGGGGACCUUCGGGCCUCGCGCCAUUAGAUGAGCCUAGGUCGGAUUAGCUAGUUGGUGAGGUAAUGGCUCGACCAAGGCGACGAUCCGUAACUGGUCUGAGAGGAUGAUCAGUCACACUGGAACUGAGACACGGUCCAGACU
RNAcentral lists this ribosomal RNA (310 nucleotides) under uncultured soil bacterium. RNAcentral describes it as "bacterial SSU rRNA". It matches the Rfam family "Bacterial small subunit ribosomal RNA", at positions 26 to 337 of the family's 1533-position model. The record is from RNAcentral.